RNAcentral lists this ribosomal RNA (426 nucleotides) under uncultured prokaryote. RNAcentral describes it as "bacterial SSU rRNA". It matches the Rfam family "Bacterial small subunit ribosomal RNA", at positions 355 to 796 of the family's 1533-position model. The record is from RNAcentral.
UGGGGAAUUUUCCGCAAUGGGCGCAAGCCUGACGGAGCAAUACCGCGUGAGGGAGGAAGGCUUUUGGGUUGUAAACCUCUUUUCUCAAGGAAGAAGUCCUGACGGUACUUGAGGAAUCAGCGCCGGCUAACUCCGUGCCAGCAGCCGCGGUAAGACGGAGGGCGCUAGCGUUGUUCGGAAUCACUGGGCGUAAAGGGCGCGUAGGCGGCUGCUUAAGUCGAGGGUGAAAGCCCGGGGCUCAACCUCGGAACGGCCUUCGAGACUGGGCGGCUAGAGACCGGAAGAGGAGGGUGGAAUACCCAGUGUAGAGGUGAAAUUCGUAGAUAUUGGGUGGAACACCAGUGGCGAAAGCGGCUCUCUGGUCCGGAUCUGACGCUGAGGCGCGAAAGCGUGGGGAGCAAACAGGAUUAGAUACCCCCGUAGUCC